Molecule: long non-coding RNA, 2080 nt
Filed under: Carassius auratus (goldfish)
Lineage: Eukaryota; Metazoa; Chordata; Actinopteri; Cypriniformes; Cyprinidae
Description: lncRNA (ENSCARG00000055605.1)
Source: RNAcentral
UGUGUGUUGUGUGUGUGUCAGAUGCGGGCUGUGUGGCGACUGCUAACAACAGUGUUGAGUGGCUGCAGAAGAACUUUGGCCCGUUCUCUCAGUUCGUGUCUCUCACAGAUCUGAUCUCCAUCAACAGACUCUUUGAUCCCUUGGAGACCCUGGACAAUCUCACUCCCAAGCAGGUGGCUGGACUGUUGGUUGAAGAGCUACCUGGUCUCCCAGAGAAGAAAGUCGUCAUCAAUACAGUGUUUGAUCAUCUGUUUGUGUCUCCUGUGGAGCGAGGACUUCCUGAUGUUCUUCAAAACCUGCUCUCAAUCUCACAGAUGACCAUUAUUCCGUGCAGCUCCUACAUACUGAUGUAAGUGUACUUGGUACAUGAUAUUGAGUCUCUGGCCUCUUUGCACUGAGAUCUGCUGUAAUUCUGUGGUUCUUUCUCAGAUUCCAGAGGCUGUUUCAGGCGUUACCUUUCCUGCCGACGGAGAUGGAGACUGUGGUCUUCCAAACAACUGGAGAACUCAAGCAGAAUGGAGCAAGAGACUGUUCACUUCCUGAACCGCCAACAGUACCUGAACCUCCAACAUGUCUGUUCACUCCUGUGAAUGCUACCAGAGUUUGUUCAGGAGUCAACAGUAACGAGACUCUCCUAUCCGCUGCAUCCGUGAGCGCCCCCUGUAGUGUGGACCUGCAGCAAUACAUUUGCUCUUCGCUCACCGGCAUCACUGCUGGAAACCUGGCUGAACUCCUGAAGUGUCAACUUUCAAGCAGCAGAACUUACUCCAAGGAGAUCUGGAAACUAUUUUUCACCAAAGCAAAUGAUGUUCUGGACGGAGCCCUCGUCAUAUUCUCCAGCGCAGCAGCAAAUAUGUCUCAGCCAAUCAGAGGUGAUGUCGUGUCCCAAGUGCUGGAUGUGGUUGGAGAGCUGAGACUGGAGCGCAUCAGUCCUGACCAAUGGACAGACCUCUCUUUCAUCAGCAUGUUGUUGGGUCAAUAUCUGAAGCCGUUUUUACCAUUUGCGUCACCAUCCCUACUGCUGUGCACCAGCAGCAAAAACCUCAGCUGCCAAACUUACCAGCACAUUCUGUCAGAGGUCCCACUCGUCAAUGAGAUUCAAGGAAGAGACAUGGCAAACUUCUUCAUUCUGCCCUUCCUGAGAAGAAACGCAACAGAUGCGGGCUGUGUGGCGACUGCUAACAACAGUGUUGAGUGGCUGCAGAAGAACUUUGGCCCGUUCUCUCAGUUCGUGUCUCUCACAGAUCUGAUCUCCAUCAACAGACUCUUUGAUCCCCUCGAGACCCUGUCUAAUCUCACUCCAGAGCAGAUGGUUGGACUGAUUGUUAAUACUCAGCCUGGUGUGCCACAGAAUUUCAUCAUUAAUACUGUUUUUGAUCAUCUGCUCGUGUCUCCUGUGCAACGAGGAUUUCCAGAUGUUCUUGAGCUCCUUUAUAUUUUCUCCACAAGGAAUCCACUCAGCUGUCAAACCAACCAGAUAAUCUUCACGAGGCUGGAGCAGAUCUUGAGCUCAGGAGCGGGUGAUCUGGAGCCUGUCAUCUGGAAGAGCCUUUAUAACUUCAGCAGCACGGCUCCUGCAGACUGCACUCUUCUUCCAGUCGUGAAUGAGUGUCCCGUGACUCCAUUCAACGAGACUCGGGUGUGCAGCGGAGUGGACAGUUCUGCAGCACAGCAGUGCUUGAACGAAGGACGGAUUUGUGGCUUCAGUAUUGCAGCACAUGCAUGUGCCCCGGUGCUGGAUGUGAACAUGGACUAUCUGGUCACACUACUGAACGCUCAUCUGUCUGUGGAUGACAUGAGCUCAGCUGAGAGCUGGAAACUCUUCCUGACCAGAGUCUCAAACCUGCUGGACGUCGCCCUCCUCCAGCUCUCCAACCAGUCGGUGUGGUGGAGCAGCAGCUCUGCCUCUGUGGCUCUGGACGUCCUGCGGGAGCUGCGUCUGGACAGACUGACGGAUGAGAGCGCUGUAGUGCUGUGGCUCGAUGAACACCUGCGAGCGUUCCUGCCCAGUGCGUCUGGGACGUUCCUGCAGUGUCUGCGCAGCCAGAACCUCAGCUGCCAGAGCUUCCAGACAGUGUAA